Dreissena polymorpha is the source of this 179-nucleotide long non-coding RNA. RefSeq lists it as uncharacterized. The transcript has 3 exons. The record is from RefSeq and is a predicted model, not a curated record. NCBI's taxonomy places the organism in Eukaryota, Metazoa, Mollusca, Bivalvia, Myida, Dreissenidae.
AGUGAAGUACUUCGUUUGCUAACAGUGGUUUUGGAUAACCAAUUUGGAUAUUAAGUUUUUGUAACAGUGAAUUGUUCGAGAAUCAUGGUCCUUCGUCUUUGGCGGACAUUUGUCAUCGUUUUAGUUUUGGACUUUCGGGCGGAAGGAGCCAUGACAUGGAGAGGAUCUCCCCUUUCAAG